This 208-nucleotide unclassified non-coding RNA is filed under the name uncultured fungus. RNAcentral describes it as "sequence contains ITS1". The record is from RNAcentral. Lineage: Eukaryota; Fungi.
GUACAUUCGUAGUGCUUACGCACAAUGAUAAUUUCAUUACAUUCGAGCGGGUGUAAAAAAUCCUCUGCCAGCCAAAGCCAGCAAGAGGCCAAAGGUUCACAGGGGUAUUGGAUGAAAAGCCGCCAACGUGCACUUGCCAGAGCUGGCCAGCACUGAAGACAACGAUUCGCAAUCAAUAAUGAUCCUUCCGCAGGUUCACCUACGGAAA